CUGCCGAGCAUGUCAUCACCGGCCUGCUCUCUCCGCGGUCACCGCUCCCUCCCGUCCUGGCAGGGGAGAGAGGAGCAAAGCGGCUAGGGAGGGCGGUCAGACGCUGGAGCUGGCUGCUGGGGACGGAGAGAGAAGGAAAGAAGAGCUGAAAAAAAGAGCCAGAAACCAGGAGCAGAUUCAAAGACUUGUUAUCAGAGAUUAAGUCCAGCUGGAACAUUCAAACCUGGAUUUUUUAUGCCCUGCAUGUUCAGACAGGCAGCAAGAACCACCAACACACAUCUCUGACUCUUCCAGUGAGUCCUUCAGCAGCACGGUGAGAAGGAGCAGCCUUGUUAUUCCUCACAUAACCAACUUUGAAAGCACUUUUUCCCAUCACAACAGCACAAAGCCAUAUUUUGUCCAAAUGGCAAGGAAGAUCUCAUGGUUAGACAACUGCCGGGGACCUGGGCUCAUUUCCUGGCUCUGCCACAGACUAUGUGUGACCUGAGACAAGUUGUUUAUCUCUAUA
Long non-coding RNA from Mauremys reevesii (Reeves's turtle), 508 nucleotides. RefSeq lists it as uncharacterized. The record is from RefSeq and is a predicted model, not a curated record. The transcript is spliced from 3 exons. Lineage: Eukaryota; Metazoa; Chordata; Testudines; Geoemydidae.